Molecule: small nuclear RNA, 104 nt
Organism: Apodemus sylvaticus (European woodmouse)
Lineage: Eukaryota; Metazoa; Chordata; Mammalia; Rodentia; Muridae
Source: RefSeq, a predicted model, not a curated record
GUGCUUGUUUUGGAGGCACAUGUACUGAAAUUAGAACAGUACUGAGAUUAGCAUGGCCUCUGGACAAAGAUCACAUACAGAUCCCUGACAUGGUCCAUAUGUUU